GGCAGAAGAAUCGCUUGAACCCCGGGAGGCGGAGGUUACAAUCUGUUUCUUAGAAGUGGACACGUGAACUCUUACACAGAUCAAGAGGAGCAGCUCUGUAAAUAUUUCCCUGAGUUUUUUCAGCCUGCGCCCAGAAAUGAACAAGGACAGCUUGGAGGUUAGAGGCAAGAUGGAGUCGUUUAAGUUGGACCUCUUUCACUGUCUCAGUCAUAAUUUUGCAAAGGCGGUUUCAGUUGCAGACAAAAGGAUCCGCAGGCUCCAGUGACUGUCUGCAUGGCGGGAGAAAACACAAGAAACUGGUUGGAGUAAAAAGAUUCCCCUUUUCAAGAUCGCCAAAAGUGGAACUGAUCGCUUUCGAAGGGACUCCUUCAGGAAGAAGGAGAAAAAUUCGAGAAACUUACCUGUUUCUCUCCCUGGAAUGCCUUCUGAACCCUGAGAUUUACUUUCCUCAAUAAAGAAGCUCGCCUCGCCCACCCAGCCCACUCUUCCUAGGAGCAGCGAGGAUCGCUGUCCCUCCAGCACAUACUAGUCAACUCGAGUCAUCUGAAUAUGGGCAUAUUGGGCACAUAUUUCUUUGUAAUGGUUCCUCUCCUAUUACAAUAUGUAUCUGUUGUUUCAUCGUUAGAUUGAAAGCUCUUUAAGAAUUAUGGUAACAGUGUUACAGCUCUUUCAGAAUUUGUUUAGCAGGUUUUCUGGUUUUCACAGGAAAA
Molecule: long non-coding RNA, 710 nt
Filed under: Homo sapiens (human)
Lineage: Eukaryota; Metazoa; Chordata; Mammalia; Primates; Hominidae
Description: HSALNT0362866
Rfam family: U7 small nuclear RNA (bases 654-710)
Source: RNAcentral